RNAcentral lists this ribosomal RNA (253 nucleotides) under uncultured bacterium. Its description in RNAcentral is "partial 16S ribosomal RNA". It matches the Rfam family "Bacterial small subunit ribosomal RNA", at positions 524 to 776 of the family's 1533-position model. The record is from RNAcentral.
UACAGAGGUCCCGAGCGUUGUUCGGAUUCAUUGGGCGUAAAGGGUGCGUAGGCGGUGGGGUAAGUUGGAUGUGAAAUCUUGGGGCUUAACCUCAAAAUUGCAUUCAAUACUGCUCCGCUCGAGUUCUGUAGAGGAGAUUGGAAUUUACGGUGUAGCAGUGAAAUGCGUAGAUAUCGUAAGGAACGCCAGUGGCGAAAGCGGCUUCCUGGACCAGUACCGACGUUCAGGCACGAAAGCGUGGGGAGCAAACAGG